CUAAGAAUAUUCCGCAAUGGACGAAAGUCUGACGGAGCGACGCCGCGUGGAUGAUGAAGGCCGAAAGGUUGUAAAAUCCUUUUGUCGGGGGAGAAUAAGGCGGGGAGGCAAUGCCCUGCCGAUGACAUGAACCGGCGAAUAAGCCCCGGCUAACUACGUGCCAGCAGCCGCGGUAACACGUAGGGGGCGAGCGUUGUUCGGAAUUACUGGGCGUAAAGGGCAUGUAGGCGGCCCUUCAAGCCUGGCGUGAAAGACCGCAGCUCAACUGCGGGUAUGCGCUGGGAACUGGAGGGCUCGAGUUACGGAGAGGAAGCUGGAAUUCCUGGUGUAGGGGUGAAAUCUGUAGAGAUCAGGAAGAACACCGAUGGCGAAGGCAAGCUUCUGGCCGAUAACUGACGCU
Molecule: ribosomal RNA, 400 nt
Filed under: uncultured bacterium
Lineage: Bacteria
Description: bacterial SSU rRNA
Rfam family: Bacterial small subunit ribosomal RNA
Source: RNAcentral